CCUACGGGCGGCAGCAGUGAGGAAUAUUGGUCAAUGGACGAGAGUCUGAACCAGCCAAGUAGCGUGAAGGAUGACUGCCCUAUGGGUUGUAAACUUCUUUUAUAUGGGAAUAAACUGUUCCACGUGUGGGAUUUUGUAUGUACCAUAUGAAUAAGGAUCGGCUAACUCCGUGCCAGCAGCCGCGGUAAUACGGAGGAUCCGAGCGUUAUCCGGAUUUAUUGGGUUUAAAGGGAGCGUAGGUGGAGUGUUAAGUCAGUUGUGAAAGUUUGCGGCUCAACCGUAAAAUUGCAGUUGAAACUGGCAGUCUUGAGUGCAGUAGAGGUGGGCGGAAUUCGUGGUGUAGCGGUGAAAUGCUUAGAUAUCACGAAGAACUCCGAUUGCGAAGGCAGUUCACUGGACUGCAACUGACACUGAGGCUCGAAAGUGUGGGUAUCAAACAGGAUUAGAUACCCCUGUAGUC
This 460-nucleotide ribosomal RNA is filed under the name uncultured bacterium. Its description in RNAcentral is "partial 16S ribosomal RNA". It matches the Rfam family "Bacterial small subunit ribosomal RNA", at positions 338 to 795 of the family's 1533-position model. The record is from RNAcentral.